AAAUCGGAUUCCUUAGCGGGAUUUCGAAUUGUGGGCUACAGACGCGUAAUCAGUGUGUGACCCAGGUAUAAAUCUCUUUGAAACGAGGUAUCAUAGAGGGUGAGAAUCCCGUCUGUGACUUGGAGUUCGCCGCGUACGAUUCGUGUUCGCAGAGUCGCGUUGUUUGGGAUUGCAGCGCUAAAUGGGUGGUAAAUUUCAUCUAAAGCUAAAUAUCGACGAGAGACCGAUAGCGAACAAGUACCGUGAGGGAAAGAUGAAAAGAACUUUGAAAAGAGAGUUAAAAAGUACUUGAAAUUGCUAAGAGGGAAGCACUGGAAACCAGUCGUGACCUGCGUGUAUAUUUAGCAUAUGCGUCUGGAUCCGCGUAGCGUUGAGAGCCAAAAGCCUCAUAGUUAUUCGGUGAAUUGCGUGUUAGCGACCUGUACUGUGGGUUGAGUCAGAAUCAAUUCGAGUCGUGAGAGAAAGCUAUCAUAACGGUAGGACCGCGGGGGCAACUCCAAGGUCUGUUUAGUAUGGUAGUGCUAUCAUGGAUUGGAUUGAGGGACAAUCAACAACGCGCCCCGCAUGGGAUGCGCUCCCCGACCCUUGAUGAUCAGAAGGUUUGGACAACAAAGUUGUGCUAUCUUCGAAGUUAUCUACUGGAAAGGAUGAGCGACAAGCAGCGUUCGAGAUUCUGACGAAAUGGUUUUCAUUGACCCGUCUUGAAACACGGACCAAGGAGUCUAACAUAUAUGCGAGUAUUUGGGCCUGGAAACCCUUAUGCGCAAUGAAAGUGAAGGUUGUCUUCGGACUUCUGAGGUAGGAACCUGUGUCCUCGGACAUAGGGGCACUAUCGACCGAUCGUCACUUGUUGAAGAUUUGAGUAUGAGCAUAUCUGUUGGGACCCGAAAGAUGGUGAUCUAUGCCUGAACAGGGCGAAGCCAGGGGAAACUCUGGUGGAGGCUCGUAGCGAUACUGACGUGCAAAUCGUUCGUCUGAUUUGGGUAUAGGGGCGAAAGACUAAUCGAACCAUCUAGUAGCUGGUUCCCUCCGAAGUUUCCCUUAGGAUAGCUGGAACUUAUACAGUUUUAUCAGGUAAAGCUAAUGAUUAGUGGUCCUAGAGUUGAAACAACUUUAACCAAUUCUCAAACUUUAAAUAGGUAAGAAGCCUUGGGUUACUUAAUUGAACCCGGGCCUCGAAUGGAAGUUCUUAGUGGGCCAUUUUUGGUAAGCAGAACUGGCGAUGCGGGAUGAACCGGACGCUGACUUAAAGUGCCUAACUGUUCGCUCAUCAGAUCCCACAAAAGGUGUUGGUUCAUUUAGACAGCAGGACGGUGGUCA
RNAcentral lists this ribosomal RNA (1320 nucleotides) under Cercomonas sp. HFCC574. Its description in RNAcentral is "eukaryotic LSU rRNA". It matches the Rfam family "Eukaryotic large subunit ribosomal RNA", at positions 118 to 1254 of the family's 3401-position model. The record is from RNAcentral. Lineage: Eukaryota; Cercozoa; Cercomonadida; Cercomonadidae.